This 253-nucleotide ribosomal RNA is filed under the name uncultured microorganism. RNAcentral's name for it is "partial 16S ribosomal RNA". It matches the Rfam family "Bacterial small subunit ribosomal RNA", at positions 524 to 776 of the family's 1533-position model. The record is from RNAcentral.
UACGUAGGGUGCGAGCGUUAAUCGGAUUUACUGGGCGUAAAGCGUGCGCAGGCGGCCCGUUAAGACAGGUGUGAAAUCCCUGGGCGCAACCUAGGAAUUGCGCUUGUGACUGGCGGGCUCGAGUACGGUAGAGGGGGGUGGAAUUCCUGGUGUAGCAGUGAAAUGCGUAGAGAUCAGGAGGAACACCGAUGGCGAAGGCAGCCCCCUGGGCCUGUACUGACGCUCAUGCACGAAAGCGUGGGGAGCAAACAGG